This 253-nucleotide ribosomal RNA is filed under the name uncultured bacterium. Its description in RNAcentral is "partial 16S ribosomal RNA". It matches the Rfam family "Bacterial small subunit ribosomal RNA", at positions 524 to 776 of the family's 1533-position model. The record is from RNAcentral.
UACGUAGGUGACCAGCGUUGUCCGGAUUUACUGGGCGUAAAGAGCGCGCAGGCGGUCGUUCAAGUCGAGUGUGAAAGCCCCCGGCUCAACUGGGGAGGGUCACUCGAUACUGAUCGACUUGAAGGCAGGAGAGGGAAGCGGAAUUCCCGGUGUAGUGGUGAAAUGCGUAGAUAUCGGGAGGAACACCAGUGGCGAAGGCGGCUCCCUGGCCUGUUCUUGACGCUGAGGCGCGAAAGCGAGGGGAGCAAACGGG